AUCCAAUUGAAGAGUCCCAAAUAGGACGGAACACGCGUGCCGGGU
RNAcentral lists this non-coding RNA (45 nucleotides) under Schistosoma mansoni. The record is from RNAcentral. Lineage: Eukaryota; Metazoa; Platyhelminthes; Trematoda; Strigeidida; Schistosomatidae.